GCUCCGGUGGCCUAGUGGUUAGAACGUCCGCCUCGGAUACGGGAGGACGCGGGUACGAAGCCCGACCGAGUCA
Non-coding RNA from Potamilus streckersoni, 73 nucleotides. Lineage: Eukaryota; Metazoa; Mollusca; Bivalvia; Unionida; Unionidae. The record is from the annotation of a GenBank genome assembly.